UCUCCGUAGGUGAACCUGCGGAGGGAUCAUUACUGAGUGAGGGCCUUCGGGCUCGACCUCCAACCCUUUGUGAACACAACUUGUUGCUUCGGGGGCGACCCUGCCGGCACUCGGUCGCCGGGCGCCCCCGAAGGUCUCCAAACACUGCAUCUUUGCGUCGGAGUAUUAGUAAAUCUAAUCAAAACUUUCAACAACGGAUCUCUUGGUUCUGGCAUCGAUGAAGAACGCAGC
This 231-nucleotide unclassified non-coding RNA is filed under the name uncultured fungus. RNAcentral describes it as "sequence contains ITS1, 5.8S rRNA gene". The stretch from base 183 to 231 matches the Rfam family "5.8S ribosomal RNA", at positions 1 to 49 of the family's 154-position model. Lineage: Eukaryota; Fungi. The record is from RNAcentral.